GAAAAGAAAAAAAAUCCUGUCACAUUGUGAAACAAUAAGUUCUGUGCUUAUUUCUAGUCGUUUUGCAUGAAGCAGUCCACUAAUCUGUGGGAAUAGCGGAGAUGAAAUAUGUUCAUCUGAUGCUGACUUUGAGGUUUAUGUGGGAACCAGGAUUACACCAGUCCUCCAAAAUCGUAUUUCUGAAGACACAAGCCUGAAGAAAUAUGAUUGAGUCUUUCAUUUUUGGCUCUAGCUCAAUUAAAAUGGAAAAGUCUGCAAACUGUUCUUUUGCAGAAAAUCUGUUUUGGCUGUCAAAAUAUAAGAGUGAAAACA
Pipra filicauda (Wire-tailed manakin) is the source of this 312-nucleotide long non-coding RNA. RefSeq lists it as uncharacterized. Lineage: Eukaryota; Metazoa; Chordata; Aves; Passeriformes; Pipridae. The record is from RefSeq and is a predicted model, not a curated record. The transcript is spliced from 2 exons.